RNAcentral lists this ribosomal RNA (524 nucleotides) under uncultured bacterium. Its description in RNAcentral is "partial 16S ribosomal RNA". It matches the Rfam family "Bacterial small subunit ribosomal RNA", at positions 28 to 523 of the family's 1533-position model. The record is from RNAcentral.
GACGAACGCUGGCGGCGUGCCUAAUACAUGCAAGUCGAGCGCAGGAAAUCGACGGAACCCUUCGGGGGGAAGUCGACGGAAUGAGCGGCGGACGGGUGAGUAACACGUAAAGAACCUGCCCUCAGGUCUGGGAUAACCACGAGAAAUCGGGGCUAAUACCGGAUGGGUCAUCGGACCGCAUGGUCCGAGGAUGAAAGGCGCUUCGGCGUCGCCUGGGGAUGGCUUUGCGGUGCAUUAGCUAGUUGGUGGGGUAAUGGCCCACUAAGGCGACGAUGCAAGGCGGACCGGAGGGGGUGAUCGGCCACACUGGGACUGAGACACGGCCCAGACUCCUACGGGAGGCAGCAGUAGGGAAUCUUCCACAAUGGACGAAAGUCUGAUGGAGCAACGCCGCGUGAACGAUGAAGGCCUUCGGGUCGUAAAGUUCUGUUGUAAGGGAAGAACAAGUGCCGCAGGCAAUGGCGGCACCUUGACGGUACCUUGCGAGAAAGCCACGGCUAACUACGUGCCAGCCGCCGCCGUAA